RNAcentral lists this transfer RNA (72 nucleotides) under Diaphorina citri (Asian citrus psyllid). It matches the Rfam family "tRNA". From Rfam's summary of the family: Transfer RNA (tRNA) molecules are approximately 80 nucleotides in length. The record is from Rfam by way of RNAcentral. Lineage: Eukaryota; Metazoa; Arthropoda; Insecta; Hemiptera; Psyllidae.
GCUCCCAUGGCGUAGUGGUCACUGUGAUCGCCUUGCACGCGGGAGACCCGGGUUCGAUUCCCGGCGGAGUCA